This 239-nucleotide ribosomal RNA is filed under the name uncultured bacterium. Its description in RNAcentral is "partial 16S ribosomal RNA". It matches the Rfam family "Bacterial small subunit ribosomal RNA", at positions 15 to 236 of the family's 1533-position model. The record is from RNAcentral.
GAUCAUGGCUCAGGAUGAACGCUGGCGGCGUGCUUAACACAUGCAAGUCGAGCGAAGCGGUUUCAAUGAAGUUUUCGGAUGGAUUUGAAAUUGACUUAGCGGCGGACGGGUGAGUAACGCGUGGGUAACCUGCCUUACACUGGGGGAUAACAGUUAGAAAUGACUGCUAAUACCGCAUAAGCGCACAGGGCCGCAUGGUCUGGUGUGAAAAACUCCGGUGGUGUAAGAUGGACCCGCGU